This 776-nucleotide ribosomal RNA is filed under the name Gammarus balcanicus. RNAcentral's name for it is "eukaryotic LSU rRNA". It matches the Rfam family "Eukaryotic large subunit ribosomal RNA", at positions 157 to 628 of the family's 3401-position model. RNAcentral also lists the same sequence under 1 other name. Lineage: Eukaryota; Metazoa; Arthropoda; Malacostraca; Amphipoda; Gammaridae. The record is from RNAcentral.
UAAGUCAGCCACGAAUAGGCUAUCCCAACUAACGGCGGGAAAGACUCCACGGAGGGUGUAAGACCCGUGUGGGCGCGUGUUAAAGCUGUGCGGGCUCGGCCUCCAUUCCCUGAGAGUCGCGUUGCUUGAGCAUGCAGCGCUAAGCAGGUCGUAAACUCGAUCUAAGGCUAAAUAUUUCCACAGAACCGAUAGCGAACAAGUACCGUGAGGGAAAGUUGAAAAGCACUCUGGAGAGAGAGUCAAAAGACCGUGAAACCGCUCAGAGUAUAAGCCCAUGGCAGCUUGGAAGGCAUAUCGCUAGCGGGGCAUCGGUCUCCCUUCGCGGGGAGCUGGUGUUACCUUGCUUCUGUUGUGGCUCGUCAUGGUAGGGGGGUCAGGUCCACAUCCCGCCGUCGUGAGGGGGGUUCUUGGGUGUGUUGUGGUUUCUCGGGUGGCUUCGGCUAUCCGGGGGGCUCUUCGUGCUCGGUUCCCUUUUAGACACGGACGUUCAGACUCAGUUGCAAGACGCGAUAAACAGCCCACCACGGCACGUUGUGAGGUCACCCACAGGCUCGACUUUCGAUCGUGAUCCUUGACGCCGAGCAAGCACAAUGCGUGUCGCAGAGGUUCCUAACCAGGCAAAGGUGCCAGGAUCGUGGAACGACACGCGCUCAACAGUCAGGUUCGGGCGAAGACGGAGUUCUGGUACGAUCCUCUUGCGACGAGCCGGCUUCUGGCCGACAUCCGAUGCUCAGGUCUCCCGCAUGUGCCGCGGGAGAUCGCCUUGACGGUCUGGA